Providencia rettgeri DSM 1131 is the source of this 439-nucleotide non-coding RNA. The record is from Rfam. NCBI's taxonomy places the organism in Bacteria, Pseudomonadati, Pseudomonadota, Gammaproteobacteria, Enterobacterales, Morganellaceae.
ACUGGUUUGGAAGUACAGGCCUAUUUAUGUUAGUCAGUUUUAAGAUGUUCACCAUUAAGCGUUAUCUCAGAUACCACUUCAUUGCGAAUUCCUUCUAAUUAAUUCCCAUAAGUACCACAAGAACAAACCGCAACAUGCCUUAUGGCAAUUUUAAAAAAUUAAAGGAAAUUCUAUGUCUAAUACAAUGACUGGUACAGUAAAAUGGUUUAACGAUGAUAAAGGUUUUGGUUUUAUCACUCCUGCAGACGGCAGCAAAGAUGUAUUUGUUCACUUUUCUGCAAUUCAAAGUGAUAACUUCAAAUCAUUAGCAGAAGGCCAACAAGUUUCAUUCACCAUUGAAAAUGGUGCUAAAGGCCCAGCAGCAGCUAACGUUAUCGCUAAAUAACGAUAAACGAAUCGCUAAGCAUUCAAAAACCUCGCUAAAUGCGAGGUUUUUUCG